AUAUUGCGCAAUGGGGGAAACCCUGACGCAGCAACGCCGCGUGAAGAAAGAAGGCCUUCGGGUUGUAAACUCCUUUGAUUAGGGACGAACAAAUGACGGUACCUAAGUAACAAGCCACGGCUAACUACGUGCCAGCAGCCGCGGUAAUACGGAGGUGGCAAGCAUUGUCCGGAAUUACUGGGUGUAAAGGGCGUGUAGGCGGGAAUGCAAGUCAGGUGUGAGAUUCCGGGGCUUAACCUCGGCGCUGAAUCUGAAACUGUAUUUCUUGAGUAUCGGAGAGGAAAGCGGAAUUCCCAGUGUAGCGGUGAAAUGCGUAGAGAUUGGGAGGAACACCAGUGGCGAAGGCGGCUUUCUGGACGAAAUCUGACGCUGAGGCGCGAAAGCGUGGGGAGCAAACAGG
This 400-nucleotide ribosomal RNA is filed under the name uncultured bacterium. Its description in RNAcentral is "partial 16S ribosomal RNA". It matches the Rfam family "Bacterial small subunit ribosomal RNA", at positions 361 to 776 of the family's 1533-position model. The record is from RNAcentral.